CCCCUUCCGGGAUCGCAUCUAGAGAGUUUCCAGUCCUCUACCAGUCUCGGCUGUGGGAGGGAGAGUCAAGCAGAGGCCCUGCCCGUUCCAUUCCUAGCUUGGGCGGUGGCUAGCGCGUGGAAGGCCCUCCGCUACAAGU
Ornithorhynchus anatinus (platypus) is the source of this 139-nucleotide small nucleolar RNA. The record is from RefSeq and is a predicted model, not a curated record. Lineage: Eukaryota; Metazoa; Chordata; Mammalia; Monotremata; Ornithorhynchidae.